This is a non-coding RNA of Suillus americanus, 83 nucleotides long. The record is from the annotation of a GenBank genome assembly. NCBI's taxonomy places the organism in Eukaryota, Fungi, Basidiomycota, Agaricomycetes, Boletales, Suillaceae.
AGCGCCCUGACCAAAGUGGUUAUCACGACAGAAUCGAAAUCUGUUUCUCUUGGAUGGCGCAGGUUCGAAACCUGCCGAUGCCA